This 388-nucleotide ribosomal RNA is filed under the name uncultured bacterium. RNAcentral's name for it is "bacterial SSU rRNA". It matches the Rfam family "Bacterial small subunit ribosomal RNA", at positions 29 to 417 of the family's 1533-position model. The record is from RNAcentral.
AUUGAACGCUGGCGGCGUGCUUAACACAUGCAAGUCGUGCGGUAACAGGCGUAGCAAUACGUGCUGACGAGCGGCGAGCGGGUGCGUAAUACAUGGGAAUCUGCCCUUUAGUGGGGAAUAACCCGGCGAAAGCCGGGCUAAUGCCGCAUAAGAUCUUCGGAUGAAAGCGGGGGAUCGUAAGACCUCGCGCUGAUGGAUGAGCCCAUGUCGGAUUAGCAGUUGGUGAGGUAACGGCUCACCAAGGCGACGAUCCGUAGCUGGUCUGAGAGGACGGCCAGCCACACUGGGACUGAGACACGGCCCAGACUCCUACGGGAGGCAGCAGUGGGGAAUAUUGGACAAUGGGCGAAAGCCUGAUCCAGCGACGCCGCGUGUGUGAAGGAGGCCU